This is a small nuclear RNA of Delphinapterus leucas (beluga whale), 107 nucleotides long. The record is from Ensembl. NCBI's taxonomy places the organism in Eukaryota, Metazoa, Chordata, Mammalia, Artiodactyla, Monodontidae.
GUGCUCGUUCCGGCAGCACAUAUACUACAACUGCAACGACACAGAGAAAACUAGCAUGGCCCCUGCGCAAGGAUAACACGUAAAUUCGUGAAGCGGUCCAUGUAUUU